AAAAAAAAUAUCCCGUUGUAAUUAGCGGGACUUAAAUACGAAAUCACGUUGAAAUGUUAACUUCACUUGUGGUUUAGCACUUGUGAUUUCUGGUUCAUCAGAGAUAAAUUGUGUGGCGCAGUGGAAGAAAUCGAAUUUUUUCAUAUCAUUAAUUAUUAUUUCGUAGAUUCCAGAGUAUUAUUUGUUAGUCGGACAUUUCAAACGAAACCCUAUAGAGAAAUAGGAUAAAAUUGAAGUGAAUGCAGCUACUGUUACACGGGUAGCGAAAAUUGUGCACACGUUCAAAAAAGGAGCUGUUGCUCGCUCAAGUAAGCGGCAAAAUGCUGCCCAAAAUAGGAAAAUGUUUGCGCGCAUUCGACGUAAAGUAGUGAGGCUCGCUCUAGAAACGCGUAUUAAACCAGCUAGAGAAAUUACAAAGGAGCUAAAUUAUGCCCAUGUUAAAAUAUCGCAUAAAACAGUUGAACGCAUCUUAUUAGAAAAUAACCUUAAAUGCCGCCAUCCAGACAAGAAACCAAAAUUGACCAAGUGAAUGAAAAAUCAACGGGUAAUAUGAGCUAGGCUCCAUCAGAACUACACAUAGGUAGAUUGGAACAAGAUUAUCUUCAGCGACGAGUGCCGGCUAGAAGAAGUGACAGAAGCCAUUCAAUUUGUGCGCGUAGACCGUGUGAACGUUAUGCGGAGAAAUGCAGCUGCUAGCGAGCAGUACAUCAAUGUACUUCGACGUGUUUUUGUACCAUAUUUGGCAAAAUUGAGCCCUCCAGCAGCUCAAUACACAUUUAUGCACCAUGAGGCGCCAAUUUUAGCCAUUUUUUCGGUGAGGAAAGGCAGCCAAAUACAUUCAGGUGUUUGUAUUAAAAAAUGAUACGAAAGAAUUCAAAUUUCAUUAUUCGACGAAAGGGUGAAAUGAUUACAAUCAAAUGUGGUAUCUUAUUAAUUAAUAUUGAAGGUCAUAGGCUACUAUAUUUUACUUCGCAUUAAGAAAAAAGUCAUCCUUAAAUUAAAAAAAUGAGAUAUAAAAAUAAAAGCAAUUCAUUCGUGCUACAUAUCAUCGUAGUAGCCGCUGUACUCGGUAUAUACAAAUUACACGUGGUUUUCAACAUUCGUUCGAGACCUUCUUCUUAUCAACUUCUGUCGAAGUUACCCACAGUUCGUCCACUAUUGCAGAUCUGUCUUUGCUACAUCUACAACAACAUCUUCAUAUUCUCCAUUGCUCAGGUACUCGUAUAUAUAUAUUUUUUUGUGCCUUCAAAUGCCUACUAACAAUAAAGCCAAUGUGCCUAACAUGGCUGAUGAGGAACAAUAAACUUUGUCCUCGGAAAUUCAAACGCGUUCAACGAUUAUUAACUUCUUCGUUCAACCUACAUAGUAUGAAGCAACGAAUUACUUGUGAAGAAGUCGAUACUGAUUCGCAUGUUCUCGAAUGUUGAUUGCAAAUUGUUGAGUCCUAUUUUCAACAUAUUGGCGACGUCCCGCACAAUAUUAAAGCUCUUGCUCCGUUAGACAAAUAGAGAGCAAAAGUUGAAGAAACGUACAUUUCAACAAAAUCAGAAAUAUUUUCGUUAAUUAACUCUAGAAAAGGCCUUCACUUAAAUUUCCAAAAUUUGACGGCAAAUAUGUGGAAUAUAAACGCUUUUUCCGCACCUUUUGCACGAUGACCCAACAAUGGCAAAGGUGGACAAAUUUAAUUAUCUUUUAAACUGUGUUUCAAGACCAGCCCAUAGCGUAAUCGAACCCUUUCAGGUAACCGAAGAAAACUACCCGAAGGCUAUACAGCGGAUCAAAGAACGUCGUGAAAAGAUCUGACGCAGGAAGUCUACGUAAUAUCAUCGACACUGUUGCAGCGCUACGAGGUGCGAUACUCUCGUUGGGCUCAGAAAGCCACAUAAUGAAUUCAAUGUUAAUUCAUAUCGUCUUAAUUGAAAUUGAUUCUGAUUCAAAAUUGACAUACAAUACAAAGUAUUAGAAACUUGUCAAACGGGGAAAACUUAAUGGUAACACAGUGGGAUUGUAAGCUACUCGUUAUCAGCUAAGAUGCGUUUUUAUUGGGAGAAGCAAUAUGCUAUUGCUAUUGCAUCAAUUGCUUACGCAAAGAACACAGUAUCUAAAUGCCCAUUGAAAUGUCGUUGCCGUAUAUGUCUUCAAUCACACCACUUUCGUCUGCAUUUCGCCACCGUUGGAGCUACAAAUUACCCCAUUGUACAAAAGUUAGAACCUAAAGGAAAAGAACAAACACCUAUGCCGUAUACUUCGUCGAAUCCAUCGCAUCAUUCACCAACCAAUCCAUCAGUUUCACUCAUCGCAUGCACACGUAAAAGUGCGAUAAUACCAACAGCCUUAAUUUACAUACAGGAUAAAUUUGGAGUGAUGUAGCCAGCUCGUAAGUUAUUGGAUUCAUGUUCCGAAUUAAAUCACCAAGGAAACAGCGAAGCGGUUGCAGCUUAAAAUGUUUUUCUCACAUCAUGAAGUAUUAGGUAUUUCAGAUACUCAUUCUAAUUCAAAGUAUGCAGAAAAUGCGAAAAUCAAAUCUCGUAUUGCAGAUUAUACUUGUAUAUCGCAAUUUAUCAACACUUCUCAAUAGGAUAUUCCUGAAAACAUUCAGCUUGCGGAUCCCUACUUCUACAAACCGCAACGUAUAGAUUUAUUGCUUAAUGCAGAAAUAUUUUUUGAAAGACUUCAAAAAGGCACAAUCCCUCUUGAAAAAUCAAAUCAAGUUGGAUUGUUAGUGGUAAUUUUUAAACGCCACCCGCCCAUCCAUUCGGAAUGUUAUUUUGUACAAAAUUCAAAUAAAUCGAACAUCGCUUCGAUUCCUCAACGUUUUUGGGAAAUUGAAAAUUUUA
Bactrocera oleae (olive fruit fly) is the source of this 2837-nucleotide long non-coding RNA. RefSeq lists it as uncharacterized. NCBI's taxonomy places the organism in Eukaryota, Metazoa, Arthropoda, Insecta, Diptera, Tephritidae. The record is from RefSeq and is a predicted model, not a curated record.